UCCACUACUCGGUUGUUAGAGUACGAAGCUCUUAACCUUGUGGACGUGGGUUCAAGCCCCAUGGUGGAG
This is a non-coding RNA of Triticum aestivum (bread wheat), 69 nucleotides long. The record is from Rfam. Lineage: Eukaryota; Viridiplantae; Streptophyta; Magnoliopsida; Poales; Poaceae.